Molecule: ribosomal RNA, 460 nt
Filed under: uncultured bacterium
Lineage: Bacteria
Description: partial 16S ribosomal RNA
Rfam family: Bacterial small subunit ribosomal RNA
Source: RNAcentral
CCUACGGGUAGCAGCAGUGAGGAAUAUUGGUCAAUGGUCGCGAGCCUGAACCAGCCAAGUAGCGUGCAGGAUGACUGCCCUAUGGGUUGUAAACUUCUUUUAUACAGGAAUAAAAUGAGUCACGUGUGCUUUUUUGUAUGUACUUCAUGAAUAAGGAUCGGCUAAUUCCGUGCCAGCAGCCGCGGUAAUACGGAGGAUCCGAGCGUUAUCCGGAUUUAUUGGGUUUAAAGGGAGCGUAGAUGGGUUGUUAAGUCAGUUGUGAAAGUUUGCGGCUCAACCGUAGAAUUGCGACGGAUACUGGCAGGUUUGAGUACAGGGAAGGUAGGCGGAAGUCGUGGUGUAGCGGUGAAAUGCUUAGAUAUCACGAAGAACUCCGAUUGCGAAGGCAGCAUACGAAACUGCCACUGACAUUGAUGCUCGAAGGUGUGGGUAUCGAACAGGAUUAGAUACCCGAGUAGUC